AAGUAUGUUCAUCUCUACUUUCUGAUAUCCUCAUAUGAAUACUGUGAAAUAGGUAGAUUGGAUAUUAUUACCUCCAGUUAACAUAAGGAUACAGAAAGAGGCCAAGUCAUUUUCCCAAAGUCACUUGUCAACCAUUCAGAGGUAAUGAAAACAUCCCCAUGACCAGAAAUCCUCAGGAAUAAUUCCUCUUGACUGCAGUUAAUGGUGCAGAUUUCUGAGUUUUAUGAAAUAUGUCAUCAUGUGAUGAUGAGGAUUCUGCUGUGCUGUCCAGGCUGGCCUCUAACACCUGGGUUCAAGUGAUCCUUCUGCUUUAGCUGUAGUUGGGACUAAAUGUGUAUGCCACCAUACCCAUCAGAGUGGAUCUCAAAUGACAGUGCUGCAGAAUAUAUUUUGGAAAGAGUUGUUCUAGAUUUUA
This is a long non-coding RNA of Symphalangus syndactylus (siamang), 415 nucleotides long. RefSeq lists it as uncharacterized. The record is from RefSeq and is a predicted model, not a curated record. NCBI's taxonomy places the organism in Eukaryota, Metazoa, Chordata, Mammalia, Primates, Hylobatidae.